AGUGAACGCUGGCGGUAGGCCUAACACAUGCAAGUCGAACGGCAGCACAGUAAGAGCUUGCUCUUACGGGUGGCGAGUGGCGGACGGGUGAGGAAUACAUCGGAAUCUACUUUUUCGUGGGGGAUAACGUAGGGAAACUUACGCUAAUACCGCAUACGACCUACGGGUGAAAGCAGGGGAUCUUCGGACCUUGCGCGAUUGAAUGAGCCGAUGUCGGAUUAGCUAGUUGGCGGGGUAAAGGCCCACCAAGGCGACGAUCCGUAGCUGGUCUGAGAGGAUGAUCAGCCACACUGGAACUGAGACACGGUCCAGACUCCUACGGGAGGCAGCAGUGGGGAAUUUUGGACAAUGGGCGCAAGCCUGAUCCAGCCAUACCGCGUGGGUGAAGAAGGCCUUCGGGUUGUAAAGCCCUUUUGUUGGGAAAGAAAAGCAGCAGGUUAAUACCCCGCUGUUCUGACGUUACCCAAAGAAUAAGCACCGGCUAACUUCGUG
Molecule: ribosomal RNA, 492 nt
Filed under: uncultured bacterium
Lineage: Bacteria
Description: partial 16S ribosomal RNA
Rfam family: Bacterial small subunit ribosomal RNA
Source: RNAcentral